CGGCGGACGGGUGAGUAACGCGUGGGUAACCUGCCUCGUACAGGGGGAUGACAGUUGGAAACGGCUGCUAAUACCGCAUAAGCGCACAGUACCGCAUGGUACGGUGUGAAAAACUCCGGUGGUAUGAGAUGGACCCGCGUCUGAUUAGGUAGUUGGUGGGGUAACGGCCUACCAAGCCGACGAUCAGUAGCCGACCUGAGAGGGUGACCGACCACAUUGGGACUGAGACACGGCCCAA
Molecule: ribosomal RNA, 238 nt
Filed under: uncultured bacterium
Lineage: Bacteria
Description: partial 16S ribosomal RNA
Rfam family: Bacterial small subunit ribosomal RNA
Source: RNAcentral